CCUUACUCUUCCUGCCACGUUCUGUAGUCUCAGAGACCCUGAAUAACUUCACCUAGCUGUGGCACCAGCACAACAAGCCGCAUGUUGCACGAUAAUGAGGAAAAGUGAUUUCUGCUCUGGUAAAUGAUGUGGUCUCUGUAUUGUCCACACAAAGCAAACAAGAGCGUGGCCUUUUUAGGUCUCCCAUGAAAAUGGACACAAAGAAACACACUGUUGUUUUCAAUUUUAAAUUUAUUAAAGAGUAAAAGAUGUUCUGUGAGAAGUACUGACAAAUAUCUGUUUCAAAACCAAUGGGAAGCAUGUCUUUACGGCAUUUUAAAAUCGUCUUCCAACCCUAGAAAAGCUGAAACAGGUUCAGGAAUAUGGGAAGAAGAAUCUGGUACUUCUACCAUAUGGCAGAUUUUGGUUUUGCUUGAGGAAUUUUAAAAAGAAACAUUUUACUCAGCUGAUGAGUGGCCUGUUCAAACUUAGUUUUUCAUUAGUGCGUU
This 488-nucleotide long non-coding RNA is filed under the name Struthio camelus australis. Its description in RNAcentral is "lncRNA (ENSSCUG00000002072.1)". Lineage: Eukaryota; Metazoa; Chordata; Aves; Struthioniformes; Struthionidae. The record is from RNAcentral.